RNAcentral lists this long non-coding RNA (1016 nucleotides) under Bos indicus x Bos taurus (hybrid cattle). Its description in RNAcentral is "lncRNA (ENSBIXG00000006485.1)". Lineage: Eukaryota; Metazoa; Chordata; Mammalia; Artiodactyla; Bovidae. The record is from RNAcentral.
GGGGAGAGCCAAUCGCUUCAGCUCCAGAGAUCUCACAGCUAGAUGGACAGUUGUUGUGGUUCAGUCGCUCAGUUGUGUCCGACUCUUUUGUGACCCCUGGACUAUAACCCAUGAGGCCUUCUGUCCAUGGGAUUUCCCAGGCAAAAACACUGGAGUGGUUGCUAUUUCUUCUCCAGGGGAUCUUCCCAACCUAGGGAUCGAAGCUGCAUCUCCCACAUUGGCAGGCUGAUUCUUUACCACUGAGUCACCAGGGAGGCGGAUGGACAGUAGGUUGGUUUAACUCUACACACAGAGUCUCACCUCUCAGCCUUCAGGUGAAGAACCGGACACCCAGAGAGAGGUGAGUUGCCUAAGGACACCUGGCUAAUUAAUGCUCACUUAAUACAACUGGGAAAAUCACUUGCUGACAUAGUUGUUUUUAUAAAAGCUUUUAAUGAAAACUUUGUUGACACUGUUUUUGAACAAAACAGAUCACAGAGGGUCUUCUGUGGAUAGUGAACAGGCAAUUAGUGGAGAGCAACAGGACAUGCAGGUCCUUGGGAGCUCACUGGCCGCAGGGGAUGAGGUAGAAGCUGCAGAAGCUCUUUCGAAGGCGGCAUCUCAGAUUUGGAUUAUUAGCAUCCACUGGAGAUGGUGACUGCAGCCAUGAAAUUAAAAGACGCUUGCUCCUUGGAAGGAAAACUAUGACCAACAUAGACAGCUUAUUCAAAAGCAGAGACAUUACUUUGUCAACAAAGGUCCGUCUAGCCAAAGCUAUGGUUUUUCCAGUAGUCAUGUAUGGAUGUGAGAGUUGGACUAUAAAGAAAGUGAAGAAUUGAUGCUUUUGAACUGUGGUGUUGGAGAAGACUCUUGAGAGUCCCUUGGACUGCAAAGAGAUUCAACCAGUCCAUCCUAAAGGAGAUCAGUCCUGGGUAUUCUUUGGAAGGACUGAUGUUGAAGCUGAAACUCCAGUACUUUGGCCACCUGAUGCGAAGAGCUGACUCAUAAUCUCUUUAACAAGUGGUGCUGGGAAAACU